AUGUUUUCCCCACUUCCCUCCCGCUCCUUCCUCCCGCCAAUCUCCCUCCCGCUCGCCUCCCUUCCAGCCGGCCGCCAUGCCACCGAAGAAGUACGCCGCCCCUCGCGCGGCGGCAAUCGCGACCACUUCCGUCGCCCAGCCGAAGCAGAGGAAGCCGAGAGCGCCGCCGGUCAAGCCACCGGGCAUGUCAAACGCCGAGUGAAAGGCGGAAGUUCAGCGGCGGGAUGCUGUCACCGCCGACCGGCGGAACAGGGCCAUCGCCAAGAAGGCCUGCGACAACGCGGCUCGCGUGGGGAUGGUGAAUCCACCUGGAAGUCACGCCCAGUACGCGCCCUGGGGCCAGCAAGGCGUCAGCUCUCCGCAGCCAUGGGGAUCGCCCUCGCCGGGCUACGCCGACGGGGACGCGCACGGUGGGUUCAACCCAAACGUCACCUUUUCCCAUGGAUACCUGGCCCAGCAUACGUCCUCUCCCGCCUUCGCCGACGUGCAGUACCCUCCAUACAACUACUCGCCGCCCACCUACGCUUCCUCCCGGCGCCCCCGCUACGCCGUGGCCCGCUGCCCUUCUCGCACCUCGGCGACACCGACGAGACCGAGGCCGACAUGGACGACAUCAUCGUGGCAGGUUCGGCCGUGGCCGCCUCAUCUCCCGGGUUCGUCACCCAGGACGAGGUGGUGGAUCUCAGCGGCAGCAUGGACGGCGAGCUCGGCUACGUCUACGGCGAGGAGGAGCAGGAGGAGGAGGACGAGGAGGAGGAGGAGAAGGAGGAGCCGACGCCUACGACGGCGAAGGGGCGCAAGAAGAAGAAGCGGGCGGCCAGGACAGGCGAGCCGCGCAUCAAGUGGGCGUCCAAGGAGGAGGAAUGCCUUGCCGAAGCAUGGAAAGUCGUCUGCCUCGACCCGACGACCAGCACGAACCAGAGCAUCGACACGUACUCGGACCGCAUCAAGGCCGAGUUCGAUGAGCGCAAGCUCGUCGACCCCUACUUCAAAGGCGUCUACAUGCAGCGCGCCUCCAAGGCUAUGGCGAACCAUUGGGGGCGUAUUCAGGGUGCGUGCACCAAAUGGCAUGGGGUCGUCGAGGAGGUCACGGCUCGUCCGGAGAGCGGCGCCAGCGUCGAGGAUCAGGUAUGCCACGCCGGCCUCCCGCCUCUCUUCGCAGUGUACGCCCGCCAACUGUUUGUUCUUCCGCGUAGUUGCUGCGCAUGUUCGCCCUGUACCGGCAGAGCAACAUCGACGACGAAUUCAAGUACCUCCACGUCUACAAGCGCAUUGACAAAUGCGAGAAGUGACUGGAAAUCCGGCGCACCCUCGACAAGGCCAAGGAGACCUACAAGCCGGACGCGCCGACUCCUGGCGCAUCGGAAGGGCGGCCGGACGGCAACAAAGUUGCUAAGAAGGGGAAACACGCCGACGCGGCCACCGCUCGAGUGCAGGAGUCCAUCGAGCACUGCCUCGCCGACGCGCAGGCCCGGGCCGUCCUUCGUGAAGAGAAGACCGAGGCGCGGUGGUCGGCGUUGA
RNAcentral lists this ribosomal RNA (1521 nucleotides) under Triticum aestivum (bread wheat). RNAcentral's name for it is "partial small subunit ribosomal RNA". Lineage: Eukaryota; Viridiplantae; Streptophyta; Magnoliopsida; Poales; Poaceae. The record is from RNAcentral.